UGCCAGCAGCCGCGGUAAUACGUACUGGGCGAACGUUAUUCGGAAUCACUGGGCUUAAAGCGUGCGUAGGCGGCUUGGUAGGUGAGAUGUGAAAGCCCACGGCUCAACCGUGGAAUAGCGUCUCAAACCCCCAAGCUCGAGGAAGAUAGGGGUGAUGGGAACUUAUGGUGGAGCGGUGAAAUGCGUUGAUAUCAUAGGGAACACCGGUGGCGAAGGCGCAACACUGGGUCUUUUCUGACGCUGAGGCACGAAAGCUAGGGUAGCGAACGGGAUUAGAUA
Molecule: ribosomal RNA, 279 nt
Filed under: uncultured bacterium
Lineage: Bacteria
Description: partial 16S ribosomal RNA
Rfam family: Bacterial small subunit ribosomal RNA
Source: RNAcentral